AUGAAGCAGAAGUUCAGCGGGAUGAAGUCUCACGACUGUCACGUGCUGAUGACGCAGAUACUUACAGUUGCAAUCCAUGGGAUCAUGGACGCGCACGUCCGUGAAACACUAUUUGGCCUAUGCAACUUUUUUGAUGUCAUCUCUCAGAAGUCGGUUGGCGUGAGGAAACUCAGAAGGCUACAGGAAGAGAUCGUGGUGAUACUAUGCGAGCUUGAGAUGUACUUACCGCCCGCAUUCUUCGAUGUUAUGGUGCAUCUGCUGGUCCAUAUCGUGGAGGAUAUCAUCCAACUCGGGCCGACGUUCCUGCACAACAUGAUGAUGUUCGAAAGGAUGAAUGGUGUCAUCAAAGGAUACGUUCGCAACAUGUCACGUCUAGAGGAAAGCAUAGCCAGGGGCUUUCUGACCGAAGAGUGCGUCUCCUACUGCAGGAAUUAUCUAGGCAUCGAGAACCCCGUUGGUCUGCCUGUCAACAGGCACCUCAGCAGGCUCGCUGGAUGGGGUCACCACAAUGGUCGCUGCGAAAUGCAUGUCGACUUUGACGGUCGACUCGCCGACUUUGAAAGAGCAAACCUAGUCAUGCUACAACACAUAGACGUGGUCGAUCCUUGGGUGGUAGAGCACAAAACCUUUAUUGAGAAGACGUACAAUGACCAAGGCCAACAGAGGACGGAAGGAGAUAUAAUCAAAGAGCACAACUCAUGUUUCACGCGUUGGUUCAACGAGAAGCUUCUGUCGUACCCUUUACAUGAGGAUUCUUCUGCGGAAGAAAAACUCAUAUUCACCUUGUCACAGGGCGCCGAGCACAACCUGAUGACCUAUGAGGCGUACGAUAUCAACGGCUACACAUUCUACACCGAGGACAAGGACAUGAAGAGCGAUGGUUAUCAGAACUCUGGGGUAACGAUGGAAUCCUACACCGGUAACGACAAGGACAGAUACUACGGAAGGAUCGAGGAGAUCUGGGAGCUGAGCUACGCUGGAAAGAAGGUCCCGAUGUUCCGUGUUAGAUGGGCCAAGAGCGUCCUAAAAGAAGACAGGUAUUUCACCACCAUGGUUAUACCCGAAGCCAAAUCCAAGACCGUGGGCGCAAACGUCACCGCGAAAAAUGAGCCAUGGGUACUGGCUUCCCAAGUGGACCAAUGCUUCUUCAUUACCGACCCGUCAAAGCCCAGUCGUGUUGUCGUGAGGAGAGGCAAAAGGAAGAUCAUCGGAAUGGAUGGAGUCGCCAAUGAGCAAGACUUCGACAAGUACGGUGACCCGAAGAUGGAACAUGACGACGACGAUGAAGUGACAUACACCACAAGAAGAAGCAGGACCACCCUACCUAAAGGACGUCCGUUCAACAGAAGAACUCCACUUGCAAAAAAGAAGGGCAAGAAGAUUGUGAAAAGAUAG
RNAcentral lists this ribosomal RNA (1395 nucleotides) under Triticum aestivum (bread wheat). Its description in RNAcentral is "partial small subunit ribosomal RNA". Lineage: Eukaryota; Viridiplantae; Streptophyta; Magnoliopsida; Poales; Poaceae. The record is from RNAcentral.